AUAUGGAUUGGACUAGAUAACAAGGUCUUUUCCAACUUGAAAAUUAUUUGAUUUAUCAACUAUUUUUGGCAUGUGUUUUAGAAUCAAAAAAUUAUGUACUUAAAUAUCAACAAACAAAUAUUCUAAUAUAUACAAAGAACAAAAAUGUAUUAAAUAUGAAACUGAAAUUUUACAUACAAAUUGUAUUUUAAAAAGUAUAUAUAUAUGUUAAAUUGAAAGAGCAUUAUCAGAACUAUCCUUUUUUAAUUGUUCUUGUGUUUUUUUUCCUUCUAGGUCUUUUCAUUAAAAAAUAAAGGAAUCCUUGAUAUUUUGUAUAAUUUCUUUAAAUUUCUGAGGCCCUCUCUUCUUGUCCACUUAAUGAGCCAUUUAUAACAAUAAAAAAUAAAAAGAAAGAGGAAGGAAAAAAAGAAUCAGUGAAAUUAACUGAACAUUUACGAAGUCUCACAUUAUAUGCUGUGAUCACAUUCACAGUUUUCUAUAUCUGAAGGAAAUUAUCAAAUGGACUCAAGUCAAGCAAGAAAGUUGGCCUCCAGUGAUGUGCCCAAAAGAGAUUUGUGCUGUUUAACAUUUAAAUUAGUGACUUGGAUAAAGAUAGAAAUGACACAGAGAUGAAAAAAAAAGCUAUCAUAUUAGAUAUUAGUCAAGAUUAAGAAGAAAAGAUUAGAACAUUGGGUCAAAUAGAAGAUGACAUCUAAUGGAAAUAAAUGAAGUCUUAACUCUUGGAUUAAAAUUUUCAAUUAUAAAAGUAUAAGUUGUAAGACACAUGGCUAGAAAGCAGUUCAUCUGAAAAAGAUAUAGGGGUUCUGGUGGAAAACAAGCUCAAUAUGACUGCAAGCUCGUUAUACAAUAUGACAAUCAAGAAGCUUAAAUUACAUUGAGUCAGGGCAUCCAAGACCAGGAGAUAACAGUACACUGUACUUUGCCUUGGAUCAUUAUUAUUUUCAGUUCUGAAUGCCAUGUUUUAUGAAGAACAAUAAUAUGAUGGAGAGCUGUCAUUCAGAGAAGGGCAACCAACAUGAUUGAAAACUGCAAGUGUUCUGAAUCCAAUUCUUCCUGUGCAACAAGAGAACUUCGGUUAUGCACACACAUAUUGUAUCUAGGAUAUACUGUAACAUAUUUAACAUGUAUAGGACUGCUUGCCAUCUGGGGGGGGGGGGUAAAGGGAGGGAGGGAUAAAGUCGGAACAGAAGUGAGUGCAAGGGAUAAUGUAAAGAAAAUUUUUUCAAAAUUAAAAAAAAAAACAGCAAGUGUGCGAAUCAUUUGAAGGAAUGGGGGAUAACUUGGAGAAGAAAAGAGUUAAGGAGGAUGAUAUCAUUAUGACCUGUCUUGAAAUAUUGGAAAGAUUGUCAUAUGGAAGAGGGAAUAAAAAGACUUGCUUGGUUUAGUCCCAACAGGCUCAACAAGGAAUGAUGAAUAGAAUGGGCACAGAAGCAAAUUGAAGCCUGAGAGCAGAAAGUACAAUUCCCAAUAAUUAAAACUAUCCCAAAGCAAAAUAGGUUGCUUCAGGAGGCAGAGGAUUUUUCCCUCAGUGGAUUUUUUUGGGGGGAGGGGCAAAAGAUGUAUGACUUACUGUUAUAAAAGGGAAGUGAUAGAAAGAAUUCUUGUUCAGAUGGACUCUGAAGUUCUUCCUAAAGCUGAGAAUCUAUGAUUAAGUGAAACAAUUUGUUACUUGAAUAAGAAAAAAAAAAAUAAGGUGGUGUUGUACUUAGCAGAUCUCUGAGGUUCUUUCCAGCUCUAGAAUUCCAUGAUUUUAUGAUUUCUGUGGAGGAGUGAACCUCAUGACUUGCCAACAGGACUUACAUGAAUGUUGGAGUUUUGCUGUCUUAAGCAAAUCCUAUACUAAUUUGUCCCCCCCCCCCCUUUUUUUUUUUUUAAAGUUUUUGGAAGUGAGCCCACUUGGCUAGAGGCUUUGUCUAAUUCUAGGUUAUAUGUAAAGCAGAGUAGGUUGGUGUCUGACUAGGGCAUAAUUGUGCACUAUAUUUUUACUUUACAUCCUGAAGUUAGCUUUUUUUGUCAGGUGAUUAUAGAAUCUAUUUUGUUGUUCAGUUUUGCCUGACUCUUUGUGACCCUGUUUGGAGUUUUCUUGGCAAAGAUAUUGGAGUGGUUUGCCAUUUCCUUCUCCAGCUCAUUUGACAGAUAAGGAAACUGAGGAAAACAGGGUUAAGUGACUUGUCUAGGGUAACACUGCUAGUGUUUGAUAGUAAAUUAAUAAUUAAAAUAAAUAUGGGAGAACUUAUGUGGCUUAAAUAUUGCUCCUUUUUGUAUACAAAAUUAUAUAUUAAAGAUUUGAGCAAAUUA
Molecule: long non-coding RNA, 2298 nt
Organism: Sarcophilus harrisii (Tasmanian devil)
Lineage: Eukaryota; Metazoa; Chordata; Mammalia; Dasyuromorphia; Dasyuridae
Exons: 2
Source: RefSeq, a predicted model, not a curated record